UAAAAUGUUCAUACAGCAAGCUUGAGGUC
RNAcentral lists this non-coding RNA (29 nucleotides) under Mus musculus (house mouse). Lineage: Eukaryota; Metazoa; Chordata; Mammalia; Rodentia; Muridae. The record is from RNAcentral.